RNAcentral lists this transfer RNA (75 nucleotides) under Staphylococcus aureus. RNAcentral's name for it is "tRNA-Gly-GCC". The record is from RNAcentral. Lineage: Bacteria; Bacillati; Bacillota; Bacilli; Caryophanales; Staphylococcaceae.
UUCGGUCGCAGGUUCGAGUCCUGCAAGGUCCAUAUAAUUUUGGAGGAAUACCCAAGUCCGGCUGAAGGGAUCGGU